This 370-nucleotide ribosomal RNA is filed under the name uncultured bacterium. RNAcentral describes it as "bacterial SSU rRNA". It matches the Rfam family "Bacterial small subunit ribosomal RNA", at positions 527 to 896 of the family's 1533-position model. The record is from RNAcentral.
GUAGGGGGCAAGCGUUAUCCGGAUUUACUGGGUGUAAAGGGAGCGUAGACAGAAUGGCAAGUCUGAUGUGAAAGGCCGGGGCUCAACCCCGGGACUGCAUUGGAAACUGCCAAUCUAGAGUGCCGGAGGGGUAAGUGGAAUUCCUAGUGUAGCGGUGAAAUGCGUAGAUAUUAGGAGGAACACCAGUGGCGAAGGCGGCUUACUGGACGGUAACUGACGUUGAGGCUCGAAAGCGUGGGGAGCAAACAGGAUUAGAUACCCAGGUAGUCCACGCCGUAAACGAUGAAUACUAGGUGUUGGGUAGCAAAGCUAUUCGGUGCCGCAGCAAACGCAAUAAGUAUUCCACCUGGGGAGUACGUUCGCAAGAAUG